Triticum aestivum (bread wheat) is the source of this 300-nucleotide long non-coding RNA. RefSeq lists it as uncharacterized. NCBI's taxonomy places the organism in Eukaryota, Viridiplantae, Streptophyta, Magnoliopsida, Poales, Poaceae. The record is from RefSeq and is a predicted model, not a curated record. The transcript is spliced from 3 exons.
UGCAGACCCACGCACUACCAUGUGCUGUUCGAUGAGAAUCGCUUUACCGCUGGUGCCCUCCAGUCCAUCACAUAUAAUCUGUGCUACACUUAUGCUCGCUGUACACGUUCUGUAUCUAUAGUUCCGCCGGUGUACUACGCGCAUCUUGCUGCGUCACGGGGGCGGAGCUACCAGGGCAAUUUUGGUGAUGGUUCAAGCAUAAGGGAAACAACACCAGGUGACGAACUACCUGAGUUCCUACAAGUCCCAAAGAUCCACGAGAAUGUGUCGGAGGUCAUGUUUUACUGCUGAAUUCGAGGU